UAUCGGCGACUCACACCUAUAUCUCCACCUCUCGACCUAAUAGGCCACGCACACACCCACACACCAUUAUUCCGCGUCACCAACAUCGGCGACUCACACUCACUCCUCCACCUCUCGACCUAAAGAGGCCACACACACACACAAAUACCAUCAUCUCGCGUCACCAACAUCGGCGACUCAUACUCACUCCUCCACCUCUCGACCUAAAGAGGCCACACACACACACAAAUACCAUCGUCUCGCGUCACCAACAUCGGCGACUCAUACUCACUCCUCCACCUCUCGACCUAAAGAGGCCACACACACACACAAAUACCAUCCUCUCGCGUCACCAACAUCGGCGACUCAUACUCACUCCUCCAUCUCUCGACCUCGUUGGGCCACGCACACACACAAACAUUUCCACCUCCCGUCACCACCAUCCGUGACUCAUGCACCCUUCUACCCCUCUCGGCCUUGCUAGGCCACACUCACAUACAUAUCCCCUCCCUGCUCCACCAACAUCGGCAACUCAACCCGCCCCUACCAACGGCCUCCAAAUCUCCCCUCCCAAACCGCAUGCUCCCAUCUCCCCUUAUACCAUGCUAGUCCCAAGCAUUCUAACUUACUAACUCCUACUGACCACAUUACUCCUCUUCUCCCAUCCAAUCCCCCUCAAAUCCUGCUUCCUAGUCCCCUCUGCCGUACCUUCCAGCUCCCUUCCCUCUCCCACUGCCCCCUACCCACUACCUCCCCCAUCCUCCUGCCUCCUCCCGGUUCCUAUACACUUUUGCCUACCUAGGGCGAUUAACCUCUCAGCUUGCACCGUUUCACGCCACAUACACGCCCUCACCACCGUGCAUUUCGGGGAAACACAUCACCGCCUAUUAACGGCUCCCUCCAUAUCCCCACCCACGCACACACCACACACACACCUCUUCUGUCCUCUCGAGUUUUUAUCCCACCCGCGCCCCCUAGAUUGUUCUCUCACAUCCUCCUCACUCUGUUCUACCCGUACCACCCCCAUCCUUCCCCACGGCUCCCCCCCACACGCCCCCAACACCGCCAUACUUUCCCUUCCUUCCCCGAUCACCUCCGUGAGCGCGCGGGACAACCCCACGCUUACGGCCUACCUUCACUGCUCCACUCCGUCGCGCCAUUGCCGACGCCGCAACCUGCAACCAAAUUUCUCUACACACACACACCACACCAAACAACUCAAAUUUUCACCGUACCUCCCGUUUCCAUCCUUCUUCUUCCUGCCGGUCGCGUCGUCCGUCCACGGCCUCCUUCCCUCUCCCUUCUCGCUCCCCUCCGCCCCGACUCUCUCCUCUCUCCUUCUGGAACUUUCCUCUUCUUCUUCGUCUCCGCUGUCCUCCUUCCCUCCUUUUCUCUUUUUCUCUUUUUCCUUUUCUUUCUUUUUUUUCUUUUCUCCUUUUUUUUUUCUCCCUUUCCCGACCUCCUUUUAUACUCUGUCAGCCUACCCCAAAACGACGUCGUUUUCCUACAUCCCAAAACGACGUCGUUUUUCUUUCUUUCAAAACGACGUCGUUUUUCCCCUCUCUAAAACGACGUCGUUUUUCCCCUCUCUAAAACGACGUCGUUUUUAUUAUUAUUAUUAUUUUUUUUUUCUUUCUAUUCUUUCUACUUUCUAGUCCUUACAAUUUUAGUGGAAUUCUUCAAUUCAUUCACUCUCUCAUUAUUUUACUCACAUGAAUAUUUUCUAUAAUUAUGAAAAUUUAUCUUUGAAUUUUAUUUAAUUCCUGAAAAAUGAUCAAUACACAAAAUCUAAAAAACUAAGAACCCAUCCUUGAAAAUUUUGCAUUAAAAAUUUGGAGAAUCCAAAUCGAAUUGUUAUAUUCAAAAAUUUUAAAAUAGUUAUAUUUUUUAUAAGAUUAUAAAUAUUAAAUUAUGGGUUUAUUAAAUAGGAAAAUAUAAUUGGUCAUUGCCAUUAAUCCAAUGAAAAACAAAAAUCAUAAUCUCAUUAAUCGGUAUCGGGCCUUUUCAAACUAAUAAAUAAAUUUAUAAUGGAGAUAGAUAAUUAAUUUAUUAUAAUAUUAAAUUAUUUAAACAUUUCGAAGUAAAUAUUUUUGUCACUACCAACCAAACGUUGUUGUGUGCUUAUUAUCCUAAGUCGCGGAUUUGUAGGCCCACAUUAACAUUAUGACACGUGGCUGUUUUUGAUUCGACACUUAUAUCAAGCACCAGAUAACCUCCCAAAACCCUCUUCUGAUAUGUAAUUUACCAGUUAAUCAAAAACCCUACUUCGCGCUCCUAUCAUCUCCGUUAUCCCCCGUGAAAAAACAUAAACUGAUUUUGCACAACCCGGAAAUUCUCGAGAAAAUGAACCAAUCGUCCAAACAACAGCUCCAGUUAAAUAUUCAUCAGGUCUUCACCAACAUCCAAACUCAUUGCUCUGGAUUCCUCCAUAAUCUCUCCCAAAAC
This 2424-nucleotide long non-coding RNA is filed under the name Carica papaya (papaya). RNAcentral describes it as "long non-coding RNA (CPAP_LNC005242)". Lineage: Eukaryota; Viridiplantae; Streptophyta; Magnoliopsida; Brassicales; Caricaceae. The record is from RNAcentral.